UCCCCGAUAGCUCAAUGGUAGAGCACCCGGCUGUUAACCGGGUUGUUGUAGGUUCGAGCCCUACUCGGGGAGCCA
RNAcentral lists this transfer RNA (75 nucleotides) under Planctomycetota bacterium. RNAcentral describes it as "tRNA-Asn". It matches the Rfam family "tRNA". Rfam says of the family: Transfer RNA (tRNA) molecules are approximately 80 nucleotides in length. Their secondary structure includes four short double-helical elements and three loops (D, anti-codon, and T loops). Further hydrogen bonds mediate the characteristic L-shaped molecular structure. tRNAs have two regions of fundamental functional importance: the anti-codon, which is responsible for specific mRNA codon recognition, and the 3' end, to which the tRNAs corresponding amino acid is attached (by aminoacyl-tRNA synthetases). tRNAs cope with the degeneracy of the genetic code in two manners: having more than one tRNA (with a specific anti-codon) for a particular amino acid; and 'wobble' base-pairing, i.e. permitting non-standard base-pairing at the 3rd anti-codon position. Lineage: Bacteria; Pseudomonadati; Planctomycetota. The record is from RNAcentral.